UACGUAGGGUGCAGGCGUUAAUCGGAAUUACUGGGCGUAAAGCGUGCGCAGGCGGUCUCUUAAGACAGGUGUGAAAUCCCCGGGCUUAACCUGGGAACUGCGCUUGUAACUGAGAGGCUUGAGUGUGCCAGAGGGGGGGUGGAAUUCCACGUGUAGCAGUGAAAUGCGUAGAGAAUGUGGAGGAACACGAUGGCGAAGGCAGCCCCCUGGGGUAACACUGACGCUCGAUGCACGAAAGCG
This 240-nucleotide ribosomal RNA is filed under the name uncultured bacterium. RNAcentral's name for it is "partial 16S ribosomal RNA". It matches the Rfam family "Bacterial small subunit ribosomal RNA", at positions 524 to 761 of the family's 1533-position model. The record is from RNAcentral.